AGUGAACGCUGGCGGUAGGCCUAACACAUGCAAGUCGAACGGCAGCACAGUAAGAGCUUGCUCUUACGGGUGGCGAGUGGCGGACGGGUGAGGAAUACAUCGGAAUCUACUUUUUCGUGGGGGAUAACGUAGGGAAACUUACGCUAAUACCGCAUACGACCUACGGGUGAAAGCAGGGGAUCUUCGGACCUUGCGCGAUUGAAUGAGCCGAUGUCGGAUUAGCUAGUUGGCGGGGUAAAGGCCCACCAAGGCGACGAUCCGUAGCUGGUCUGAGAGGAUGAUCCGCCACACUGGAACUGAGACACGGUCCAGACUCCUACGGGAGGCAGCAGUGGGGAAUAUUGGACAAUGGGCGCAAGCCUGAUCCAGCCAUACCGCGUGGGUGAAGAAGGCCUUCGGGUUGUAAAGCCCUUUUGUUGGGAAAGAAAAGCAGCAUGUUAAUACCCCGCUGUUCUGACGGUACCCAAAGAAUAAGCACCGGCUAACUUCGUG
This 492-nucleotide ribosomal RNA is filed under the name uncultured bacterium. RNAcentral's name for it is "partial 16S ribosomal RNA". It matches the Rfam family "Bacterial small subunit ribosomal RNA", at positions 29 to 507 of the family's 1533-position model. The record is from RNAcentral.